Non-coding RNA from Zonotrichia albicollis (white-throated sparrow), 2473 nucleotides. The record is from RefSeq and is a predicted model, not a curated record. NCBI's taxonomy places the organism in Eukaryota, Metazoa, Chordata, Aves, Passeriformes, Passerellidae.
ACUAAUAUUUUUAAGAAUAAUUAUGAUACACUUUGACUCCCCAUGAAUAAAGCAAAGAUUUAUAAAUGGUAUAAGAGUAAGUUUGUGCUUUUUGGUGACUGGAGUUUUAAACACUUCAUACUCAAACCAAAAUAAAGGGGUGUAAGUGAUGGGAAGAUUCUCUCAAGAUUUGUAGCAACUCUUCGAAUAUUGCUCAUUUUUUGAGGGAUAACAUUUUUCAUCCCAAGCAGAACAAUAUUUUUUCCAUGAAAAUUGAUAUGGAAUAGAUUUUAAAUGUUAAAUAUGACAUUUUUUAAUAAGCCCAGUUUCCAUCACUGCAAGUUAUGUGGACAUUUUAUUUUGAAGAGAGAACAUCACUGUUCUACACGCUAACCUAUAAUUGUUAAACAACCUUUAAAGUUUCUCAGUGUGAUUUGUUCUAGCACUGGCUUCCUUCAGCCCCAUGAUGCAGAACAAUUGGUGACUGGGGACACACAGCUGAAGGUAUUUCACUGCUUUAUUUCCUCUGCCUCUGAAUUGUCAGACUUGUGAGCAUCUAUCCGGCACAUGGAACUAAAUUUGUGCUUGGGCAAGGGUGGAGUCCAAAGUGACAAUUUUGGGUAACUCACUUUGUUCUUUAAGGCUUUAAACUUUCUGCAUCACUCCUUCAGCUUCUUCUCACCUACCCCUUUCCUUAUUUUGGUUUGUUAGUUGCUAUUAAAUGAAACUUGAUGCUUUUCCUAAAUAGUACUACACUUCUCCAAGCUGCAAAAGAUUUAAAGAGUCACGGGGUGAGGCACAUCCUAAACUUCUCAGAAUGUUUUGCUGCCUGGUUCUACAUCUCAGCUCACAGGAGGAGCUUUCCCAGACCUGCACAACUUCCAGAGUGGCAUGUUGGAAACAGGGUCCAACAUGAGAGGGGAGAUUGGAAGUUUUAUCUCUGCCACAGAGAAUAUGGGACAAAUGCAGAGGAGGAGAGGGGCUGAGCAGCAGGGAAGCUGCUGAAGUCAUGACCCAAAAUAAGCAUCACAAGCAAGUUGUACUGUGAUUUCCUGCAGACUGUAUCUGCUCUCAGAUCUUUGCAGCUCUUUCCUUGUGGGAGGGGGCAGCAGAAUUUAUUCCAGUGGUUUCAGAAUUAGAUUUCUCAAAGGGAGAAAGGAGUGGGGAGGAACACAACCCACUGUGGCUGUAUGGGAUGCUGAUUUAAUUUACAUUUGUGGUGAUUGGAUUGCAGUAAUUUCCCUGGAGAGAAGCUUCUGAGAUAAUAAUUUCCAAAGACAAGCUUAGCCAUGGUGAGCUGAGGACUUCCUGAAACAGGAUGGCCUACUGAGAAAAAUAUCUUUUUAAACUCAUGUGGCUUCAGCCAAAUUUAAUAGGAAUUCAAAGGAUAGGAAAGCAUAGAGAGACUGUCUUGCAGGCACAGCAAGUUCAUUUGUGGAAAAAAUUCUGUGUUGGUAAAAUUGUUUGCUAUAAAAUUAUCUUUCAGGCAAUUGCAUUCAAUAUCCUUUUAAAAGAUCUGUGGGGAGUUUGGGAGACAUUAAUAAAAAGCCUGGUAUAUUUUCAGUUCUCCAGGCCAAGUAUUCAAAAAUCUGCGCCCCCAUAAAAUCCUUGGAGCACAAGAGUGGGCAGGGUUUAGCCAUAAUGGCAUGAUAGGAGAAAAAGCUCAAGUUCUGACUCGUUUCUGUCUCACUUUUGUGCCAAUGUUGUCACCUGUUUCUCUACAGAGAAGGAGUUUCAGCCCUUUUUUACCUGGAGGCCUUCAGUCCAGCCUACCAUGGUCCAUCUCAAGAGAGCUCUGAGCUGGACUGCUUUCAGAUUUCUUUGUAUUAUUCUGUCUGAUACAAAGAUUUUCUACGUGGCUCCAUUCCAAUCUCUGGAGCAUGUCUGUCUGACAAACUGAUUUGAAGAUCUACAUUUGGUGAUAAAGGUCACAAAACAACAAAAAAAGAAUAGUGAGAGAUCAGUAGUAAAGUGUGGAAAGCUGCAUCUUUUGAGGAAGAAACCACAUUUUUCUCCAUUCUGUGAGACAGCAGCAAAUUGUGCUCAGCAGAGUGUGGAAGCCCAGGAGAAGAGGAAAGCACAGCUCUUUUCUACAUUAUCACAAAGAAUAUUUCUUUUUCAAGUCCAUAUCCUGGUUUAAAUCCAGACUGUGCCUAAACCAGAAGGUUGCCAACUAGAUGUAUUUGUCAUUAUUGUCUGUGGGUUUCCUUCAGGGAAGAGAUUUUGGAUAUGGAGGCAGUGUUUGGCUGGGGCUGCUGCAUCCAGGCCAGGCUUUCAGACCCAGCCAGAGCAGCUGUAUUUAGAAGAUGAAAGGAAGAAACCUUCUGCCAGGGCAGAUCUGGCACUCACCAUUCGUCAUUUUUUACAAGCAAGAGAGACUUUCACAAGCCUAAUAGCAGGACUCCAUUAAAAUAACUGAAAGUUCUUGCUGAGUGAAUGUACCAAAUUUUUGAAUGCAGGGGUUCAUCUUGACCUACUGAAUUUAGUCAUUUAA